UGGGGAAUAUUGGGCAAUGGGGGCAACCCUGACCCAGCGACGCCGCGUGAGGGAAGAAGGCCUUCGGGUCGUAAACUUCUUUUGUACGUGAAGAAGCAGAUGACGGUAGCGUACGAAUAAGUCCCGGCUAACUACGUGCCAGCAGCCGCGGUAAUACGUAGGGGACGAGCGUUGUCCGGAAUUACUGGGCGUAAAGGGCGCGCAGGCUGCGCGUCGAGUCGGCUGUUAAAGAUCCGGGCUUAACCCGGUGAAGCGGUCGAGACCGACGAGCUGGAGUGCUGCAGAGGCAAGUGGAAUUCCCGGUGUAGCGGUGAAAUGCGUAGAUAUCGGGAAGAACACCGGUGGCGAAGGCGACUUGCUGGGCAGCAACUGACGCUGAGGCGCGAAAGCCAGGGGAGCAAA
Molecule: ribosomal RNA, 402 nt
Filed under: uncultured bacterium
Lineage: Bacteria
Description: bacterial SSU rRNA
Rfam family: Bacterial small subunit ribosomal RNA
Source: RNAcentral